CCUACGGGAGGCAGCAGUGGGGAAUAUUGCACAAUGGGGGAAACCCUGAUGCAGCGACGCCGCGUGAGUGAAGAAGUAUUUCGGUAUGUAAAGCACUAUCAACAGGGAAGAAAAUGACGGUACCUGAUUAAUAAGCCCCGGCUAUCUACGUGCCAGAAGCCGCGGUAAUACGUAGGGGGCACGCGUACUCCGGAUUUACUGGUGGUAAAGUGAACGUAGACGGCAGCACAAGUCUGGAGUGAAAUGCCGGGGCUUAACCCGGGAACUGCUUUGGAAACUGUGCAGCUAGAGUGUAGGAGAGGUGAGUGGAAUUCCUGGUGUAGCGGUGAAAUGCGUAGAGAUUAGGAGGAACACUAGUGGCGAAGGCGGCUUACUGGACUGUAACUGACGUUGAGGUUCGAAAGCGUGGGGAGCAAACAGGAUUAGAUACCCCUGUAGUC
This 440-nucleotide ribosomal RNA is filed under the name uncultured bacterium. Its description in RNAcentral is "partial 16S ribosomal RNA". It matches the Rfam family "Bacterial small subunit ribosomal RNA", at positions 338 to 795 of the family's 1533-position model. The record is from RNAcentral.